UACGUAGGGAGCAAGCGUUGUCCGGAUUCACUGGGUGUAAAGGGUGCGCAGGCGGAUCGGUAAGUCAGAGGUGAAAUCUCACAGCUCAACUGUGAAACUGCCUUUGAUACUGCUGAUCUUGAGUUAGGGAGAGGUUGAUGGAAUUCCAGGUGUAGCGGUGAAAUUCGUAGAUAUUAGGAAGAACACCAGUGGCGAAGGCGGCUCACUGGCCCGGUACUGACGCUGAGGCGCGAAAGCGUGGGAGCAAACAGG
This 252-nucleotide ribosomal RNA is filed under the name uncultured bacterium. RNAcentral describes it as "partial 16S ribosomal RNA". It matches the Rfam family "Bacterial small subunit ribosomal RNA", at positions 524 to 776 of the family's 1533-position model. The record is from RNAcentral.